Molecule: non-coding RNA, 90 nt
Filed under: Candidatus Pseudobutyricicoccus lothianensis
Lineage: Bacteria; Bacillati; Bacillota; Clostridia
Also listed under: 1 other name
Description: TPP riboswitch (THI element)
Rfam family: TPP riboswitch aptamer (THI element) (bases 3-80)
About the family: Vitamin B(1) in its active form thiamin pyrophosphate (TPP) is an essential coenzyme that is synthesised by coupling of pyrimidine and thiazole moieties in bacteria. The previously detected thiamin-regulatory element, thi box was extended, resulting in a new, highly conserved RNA secondary structure, the THI element, which is widely distributed in eubacteria and also occurs in some archaea.
Source: RNAcentral
AAAGGGGUGCUGGCUCUGGCCGGCUGAGAGGCGCUGUGCGCCAACCCAUGAACCUGAUCUGGGUAAUGCCAGCGUAGGAAGUAUGAGGAU